Molecule: long non-coding RNA, 3178 nt
Filed under: Glycine max (soybean)
Lineage: Eukaryota; Viridiplantae; Streptophyta; Magnoliopsida; Fabales; Fabaceae
Description: long non-coding RNA (GMAX_LNC003917)
Source: RNAcentral
GAGGGGAUCACAACAUGAUCAAAUCAAUAUUUUGAUCAUCCUUCAAAAACUUUACCUACCAUGUAUUGUCAAUUUUGCAUCAAGAGUAAGAGGUGUGCGAAAGAUGUUAAAAAACAGUCCACAAACAAUUUUGGAUACAACAUCAAGUUUUUUGGGGUCAACACAACCACCAUUGCGGCCACAUUGAUCACAUUUGUCCACAAUUUCCCACAAUAUCAAAGAUCACAACAAACCGCAACCCUUAUGUGCAACUAUUUAUUGAGUUGCCAUCGGAUGGAAAGGGACAGUGUUCAGUGUUAACUGAAUUAGCUUUCUCGACAAUGAAAACAAACUAUAGUACUGACAAAAGACAGACAACUAGACAAAUGCAGUGUCCAGAACAUCGUGGAAGCAAAUAAAACUUACCAAGGUAGAAAGGAGUUGAGACAAUCCGAAGGUAACCAAGUUUGGCUUAAAUUGGCUAAAUGAUCCUCUAUUAUGAAACCUGUAUAACCUUGACUACUUUGCAGUUUAUAUUGAAUUAAAUCAGUUUAUGAAUACUUCUACUGUCAGGUCUGUAUUAUUUUAAUUUUAUAAGGUCUUUGACCUGGUUUUACACAGAUUAUGUCUGAGUUCAUCCUACUUACUCUUUGAAAAAAAAUGUAAAUUAUAUUAAAUCCAAAAUGAUACAAUAAUAAACGGGGCAUAUCCCGCAGUUAAAGAAAAUCAAAAGUCUCCCUAAUACAAGAAGACCUAUAUCAAGAUGCUAAAACAAAUGCAACAAGUGCGCUUGUCUAUACAUAAGAAACUUAAUCUUGCUAAUAACCUCUAUUACAGAAAAUUGAUAAUCUUCAAAAAUCAGCUUGUUCCUAGACAGUCAAAUGUAGUAGACUGUAAUUGCUAUAGCCAGACAACAUAAUUUUCCUUGAACACCUGAUGUGGAUUUGCCCCUAAUUAAAGAGUCAGUAAUGCGCUGUAAAGAAGUGAAACGCCUGCGGAAAGGAGCCAAAUCACGAAUGUGAGCCCAAACUUGGAGAGAUUUCCUGCAAGAAAAGAACAAAUGAGCAUUUGACUCAGGCUCAUUUGAACAUAAAGGGCAGAGGGAACCCUUGUUCAAAAAAGCAACUUUGUCAAGAGUAAGCAGCCGAUUCCUUUUAGCAAGCCGCAAAAUGAAAGACAUCAGCUUGUUCCUAGACAGUCAAAUGUAGUAGACUGUAAUUGCUAUAGCCAGACAACAUAAUUUUCCUUGAACACCUGAUGUGGAUUUGCCCCUAAUUAAAGAGUCAGUAAUGCGCUGUAAAGAAGUGAAACGCUUGCGGAAAGGAGCCAAAUCACGAAUGUGAGCCCAAACUUGGAGAGAUUUCCUGCAAGAAAAGAACAAAUGAGCAUUUGACUCAGGCUCAUUUGAACAUAAAGGGCAGAGGGAACCCUUGUUCAAAAAAGCAACUUUGUCAAGAGUAAGCAGCCGAUUCCUUUUAGCAAGCCGCAAAAUGAAAGACAUCUUAGGGGGGAUUGCUGGGUUCCAUAUAACAGAACACCAACUAACAGUAAGCUUGACACCUCUAAUGUAUUCAUAGACUUUGCCAACAAGCAAUUGUGCAUUGGUGCUCCAAGAUUGAAUCCUCUUUUUGGCCUCUUCCGUACUUAACUCUUUAGAGAUAAUAAAGUCCCUUAUUUGAAUGAUUUUCUUUAUCAAAACUGAAUCUGAUGAAGAAGUAUUGUAAUUCCACACAUCGCUCCCUCUGAAAUAGUAAUGGUGAACCCACCGAACCCAUAGAAAAUCUUUCUUACAAUGAAAGUCCCACAGGAUACGGGAAAGAAGCGCAAGGUUCCAGUCCUUGAGAUUAAAAAGGCCUAAACCCCCUUCUUUUUUCGGAGAACAAACUACUGACCAAGCAACCAAGGGCUUGUUUUUGCCAAUAUCCGCUUUGCCCCACAGAAAAUUACGGCACGAAUCGUUGAUCCGGUCCAGAACAGAUUGCGGCAAAGGAAAAAUCUCCAUCCAGAAAUUCACAAUUCCUUGAAUAACCGCUCUGAUCAUAUUUAAUUUAGACUUAAGGCCAUAUUUAAUUUAGAUAAAUUCCUCCAUUAGUAAUCACAGGAGAAGAAAAUAAGAAAGAAAAAAUGAAAUAAGUUUAUCUCAAGACUAAAAUAGUAAAAUGAGCUUAUGUGUAAGUUAGUAUUAAGACUAAUAUUAGCUUCGUCACAAGCUAAUUUUAGUUUUUGAAAAAAGUUUAUUUUCCUUCUUGUUUCCUUCUAUUAUAAUUACUUACGAAAAUGCCUCUUCAAACAUUUUCUUAACCUAUCAUUUUUGUCGGUUAUAAGAUGUGGUGGACUUAAUUAGGAGAGUUUAAAAGAAACAGAUGGACACAAAUUGAAGAGAGGAACCUAGUAAGUCAAACUAGCAUGUUGUGCUGAAGCAAACUACGCGCGUUGAGCCGCAAAUAUAUCAGUUUUUUUUCUUAAAUAUGUUUAAGGUUCUUAAUAAAUGAUUGAAUUUUGUUCUAGGUUCCUAAUAAAUGAUCGAAUUUUGUUCUAAGUUCCUAAUAAAUUUUUAGUUUAAAGUUUUCAAUCUAUUGAAACUUUUUGUUUUGAGUCUUUGUCAUAAUUAAGUGACAUGUGUCAUCAAUCAAACUGAUCUUUUUAGCAUUAUCAACGGUGGUUGUGAUAGGAUCACGCCAUCACUUAACUGACAAUAAAAACUCAAAGCAAAAAUUUUAAUAUAUCAAGAACUCAAAGUAAUAAAAAUAUUUAUUAUGAAAUGAUAACAAAAUUUAAUCAUUUAUCAAAGAUGUUAAAUAUAUCUAAGCUUUUUUUUUUUUUUGUCAGCUAUAUAAGCAUAAUUAUGGCUUAAAAAUAAAUGAAUACCAUAUUAUAAAGUGUGAUGCGAACCUAAAACUUUGACCGAUAAAAGACAAAAAUGCGCGCACAUGCAUGCUGUUGUUUACAAGAAUCCUAAAGAGUUUACUCAAUUUGUUCUUUUUUGUUUUCUUGUUUAGAUAUGUAACUUAAAUUUGUUUAAAAUUGAAUGCGGGGUUUUGUUACCGUUUGUGUUUCAAUCAAUAUUGUAAAAAAUCAAAUGAUUUCGUUGAAGCAUAUGUGAGAAUUGAACAUUUUCAUGUGGCUGAUUUUGCAAAAUGUAGAUUGUUUGGAUUAUGCUUAUAGUCCAUGUCUUCUGUACUUGAUUGAAGGAUCCGAG